This 492-nucleotide ribosomal RNA is filed under the name uncultured bacterium. RNAcentral's name for it is "partial 16S ribosomal RNA". It matches the Rfam family "Bacterial small subunit ribosomal RNA", at positions 29 to 507 of the family's 1533-position model. The record is from RNAcentral.
AGUGAACGCUGGCGGUAGGCCUAACACAUGCAAGUCGAACGGCAGCACAGUAAGAGCUUGCUCUUACGGGUGGCGAGUGGCGGACGGGUGAGGAAUACAUCGGAAUCUACUUUUUCGUGGGGGAUAACGUAGGGAAACUUACGCUAAUACCGCAUACGACCUACGGGUGAAAGCAGGGGAUCUUCGGACCUUGCGCGAUUGAAUUAGCCGAUGUCGGAUUAGCUAGUUGGCGGGGUAAAGGCCCACCAAGGCGACGAUCCGUAGCUGGUCUGAGAGGAUGAUCGGCGACACUGGAACUGAGACACGGUCCAGACUCCUACGGGAGGCAGCAGUGGGGAAUAUUGGACAAUGGGCGCAAGCCUGAUCCAGCCAUACCGCGUGGGUGAAGAAGGCCUUCGGGUUGUAAAGCCCUUUUGUUGGGAAAGAAAAGCAGCAGGUUAAUACCCCGCUGUUCUGACGGUACCCAAAGAAUAAGCACCGGCUAACUUCGUG